UCCUCUAGAUUUAUAGAUACUUUAAGGUCGGAAGGGACAAUUAUGAUAGUCUAGUCUGACCUCCUGCGCAACGCAGGCCACAUAAUCUCAUCCACCUACUCCUGUAACAAACCCCUGACCUAUAUCUGAGCUAUUGAAGUCCUCAACUCAUGGUUUAAAGACUUCAAGGUGCAAAGAAUCCUCCAGCAAGUGACCCGUGCCCCACGCUGCAGAGGAAGGCGAAAAAUUUCCAGGGCCUCUGCCUAUCUGCCCUGGAGGAUAAUUCCUUCCUGACCCCAAAUAUGGCAAUCAGCUAAACCCUGAGCAUGUGGGCAAGACUCAUCAGCCAGACACCCAGGAAAGAAUUCUCUGUAGUAACUCAGAUCCCACCCUAUCUAGUGUUCU
Dermochelys coriacea (leatherback sea turtle) is the source of this 384-nucleotide long non-coding RNA. RefSeq lists it as uncharacterized. The record is from RefSeq and is a predicted model, not a curated record. NCBI's taxonomy places the organism in Eukaryota, Metazoa, Chordata, Testudines, Dermochelyidae. The transcript is spliced from 3 exons.